Long non-coding RNA from Alosa alosa (allis shad), 845 nucleotides. RefSeq lists it as uncharacterized. The record is from RefSeq and is a predicted model, not a curated record. The transcript is spliced from 3 exons. Lineage: Eukaryota; Metazoa; Chordata; Actinopteri; Clupeiformes; Clupeidae.
UUAUAAAGUUUGGUUUGUUGAGAGCUCACAUUCUCUUGCUGCUUCCACCACUUGCUCUUUGUGACUGUUAAGGUCCCCUGUCAUGCAGGGUGAAUGCUAGAACCAUGUGUUUCACUCUUCAUGGAGGACACUGAGGUGACUGCCUGAUUUUAAGAUUUGUGUGCUGGGCUACAGACACUGAUGCUCUGCACUGGAAUGUUCCUUUCUUCCUGUGUCACUGUGCUGUGGGGAGUAGUGAACGCUCUUGCAAAGUAGGCUUACAUUUACUACAUAUGUCCAUUGUGUAAUUGUGCUGUGGAAUGUACAUGGUAACUAAUAUGUACCAUUUCUUUUAAAAGGCACCAGGCCAGCCACUGUUUUACUGUUAGUUUUUGGGUUUGUUUGUUUGCUUUCAUUUUGUUUGUCUUUUUGUUUGGUUGCAUUGUCUCUCUAUAACUGCUUGUGCUGGGAGCUGGCUGUUCCUCUUUUGUUCUAUCAUAGGCUGUCCUUGUACAAGGCCGGAUCCGCAACUCAGUACUGCUCCUUUCGGGUUGGGUGCCACAUGGAGGGAGAUUUUCUCGGUGUGUACUGGUAAACAACACAGUGUGGUAUUUUGUAGUGGUAUCCUGUAGUGGUAUUUACUUCUUGUGUUUGCAGUGCUUGCCGUGUUGCAUUCUUUUGUGGUGCUGGGUUUGCUGUCUCGCUCUCCCUUCUCUCACCAGGGCCCCUCUCCAAGACGGGAGCUGUGUGUGCUGACCCGACCUUAUUAGCCUGAGGAGUCUCAGCCAGUUAUCCCAUGCAGUCUUUCUUACUUACAUUCUGGAUUGUAUUUAUACUAUUUGUAAUAAAUAUGAGUAUUUCGCAUA